UUUUAGAUCAGAAAAAAACAGUCAGAGAUCGACCAUCAUCAAGGAGCGGAGAAUGAGUUCAGUGUCAAUAUCUCUGCUAUUCCAGCUGAACCCAGUGAAGUAACGUACACCGCCAUUAAGUUCAAAAAGCUCCGAAAAAAGAGAAAACCCCGUAAACCUGAGGAGCCCGUUAUUUACGCAGAAGUGAACACAAGUGCUGCAGAACUCGCUCCAACGUACGCUGAAAUCAAUAAGAACAGAGCCAAGCGAAACAGGAGAGAAAAACCUGCAGCAACAGAUGAAUCAGUUUAUUCUGAAAUCAAAUCAGCGGUAACUCUGGAAGGUGAAUCUGCCUUUUAGCACACCAUGCAAACUUAGAUGUUUGUGUACAUGCUUAUCUAUUUUGGUACUUUUAAAUAUAACUAAUAUAUGUCUCUGAUCCAAAAUGCUGUGAAAGUGUGAAAUAUAUAAUCAUCUAUUUUCUCUAUUACAUAAUUAAAACAUAUUUAGUUGUAUUAAGUGAUACUGUAAGGGAAUCCGUAUUAAAAUCUCUGUCUUUUGGAAAUAAACUAUAGAAUUGUAUUAUAUUGCAGUCUAAGCACUGUGGACUUUUUUAUGAUGUUUCUAUGUGCUCUUAAUGUCAUGUUUAUUGUUUCCUAUUUCUACAAUGCUGCAGACAAAAGAUGGGAACAAUUGGCUGAAGUUAAUGGAUGAAAAAAUAAAUGAUGUUUCUCCUUAGAUUAAGCAUU
This is a long non-coding RNA of Poeciliopsis prolifica (blackstripe livebearer), 728 nucleotides long. RefSeq lists it as uncharacterized. Lineage: Eukaryota; Metazoa; Chordata; Actinopteri; Cyprinodontiformes; Poeciliidae. The record is from RefSeq and is a predicted model, not a curated record. The transcript is spliced from 5 exons.